RNAcentral lists this unclassified non-coding RNA (166 nucleotides) under soil metagenome. RNAcentral's name for it is "partial contains 5.8S ribosomal RNA, internal transcribed spacer 2, and large subunit ribosomal RNA". The record is from RNAcentral.
AACGCACGAGACCUGCGGACCUGCGGAAGGAUCAUUAGUGAACGCCCUCACGGGCUUAUAACUAUUCCGAACCUCUGUGAACCGUGCCCUUCGGGGCUAUUUUACAAACAUGGUGUAAUGAACGUCAUAUAUCAUAACAAAACAAAACUUUCAACAAUGGAUCUCU